GUGUUGAGAUAAAUGCUCAUCAUUGAGUGCAGCAUUGACCCUUUGAACCAAACAACAAUUUGAUGGGUCGAUGCUGCAUUCAACGAUAAGCUUUUAUUAAUGGCGAC
This 107-nucleotide microRNA precursor is filed under the name Picea abies (Norway spruce). RNAcentral describes it as "miR397k stem-loop (pab-MIR397k)". Its record names the gene pab-MIR397k. The record is from miRBase by way of RNAcentral. Lineage: Eukaryota; Viridiplantae; Streptophyta; Pinopsida; Pinales; Pinaceae.